UUAAGAUGACGACAAGUGCUUGUGCUUGUGGAAAGUGAAUUUUUUCUAGAAAACCGAAAUUUAAAUAAUUGAAUUUCACUUCAAGGACGACUAAUACGAAGGCUAUCAGUGGCCAAUCCCAUCGCAACAUCCUGCAGGCAUCCGUCCUGCAGCAAUCCUUCCGGAACGGUGACCCCGGUACCAGCAUCCCCCAGGUAUCCCUCCCGUCCAUCUAGCAGGCAUCUCCACUGCUUCCUCGCCAUUCGCCAAUCGGAAGGGUGAGUAACAUAAUUAAAAUAACACGGCACGAGCAAUUGACGUU
Ochlerotatus camptorhynchus is the source of this 301-nucleotide long non-coding RNA. RefSeq lists it as uncharacterized. The transcript is spliced from 3 exons. NCBI's taxonomy places the organism in Eukaryota, Metazoa, Arthropoda, Insecta, Diptera, Culicidae. The record is from RefSeq and is a predicted model, not a curated record.